This 1248-nucleotide ribosomal RNA is filed under the name metagenome. Its description in RNAcentral is "bacterial LSU rRNA". It matches the Rfam family "Bacterial large subunit ribosomal RNA", at positions 1635 to 2875 of the family's 2925-position model. The record is from RNAcentral.
UAUACGACCGUACCGCAAACCGACACUGGUGCGCGAGAUGAGUAUUCUAAGGCGCUUGAGAGAACUCAGGAGAAGGAACUCGGCAAAUUGACACCGUAACUUCGGAAGAAGGUGUGCCCUAUUAGUGUGUAGUGAACAACGAAGCAUGAAUGGGUUGCAAAAAAUCGGUGGCUGCGACUGUUUAUUAAAAACACAGCACUCUGCAAACACGAAAGUGGACGUAUAGGGUGUGACGCCUGCCCGGUGCUGGAAGAUUAAAUGAUGGGGUGCAAGCUCUUGAUUGAAGUCCCAGUAAACGGCGGCCGUAACUAUAACGGUCCUAAGGUAGCGAAAUUCCUUGUCGGGUAAGUUCCGACCUGCACGAAUGGCGUAACGAUGGCCACACUGUCUCCUCCUGAGACUCAGCGAAGUUGAAAUGUUUGUGAUGAUGCAAUCUCCCCGCGGAAAGACGGAAAGACCCCAUGAACCUUUACUGUAGCUUUGUAUUGGACUUUGAACAGAUCUGUGUAGGAUAGGUGGGAGGCUUUGAAGCGGGGUCGCUAGAUCUUGUGGAGCCAACGUUGAAAUACCACCCUGGUGUGUUUGAGGUUCUAACCUAGGUCCAUUAUCUGGAUCGGGGACAGUGCAUGGUAGGCAGUUUGACUGGGGCGGUCUCCUCCCAAAGCGUAACGGAGGAGUUCGAAGGUACGCUAGUUACGGUCGGACAUCGUGACGAUAGUGCAAUGGCAUAAGCGUGCUUAACUGCGAGACUGACAAGUCGAGCAGAUGCGAAAGCAGGACAUAGUGAUCCGGUGGUUCUGUAUGGAAGGGCCAUCGCUCAACGGAUAAAAGGUACUCUGGGGAUAACAGGCUGAUACCGCCCAAGAGUUCAUAUCGACGGCGGUGUUUGGCACCUCGAUGUCGGCUCAUCUCAUCCUGGGGCUGUAGCCGGUCCCAAGGGUAUGGCUGUUCGCCAUUUAAAGAGGUACGUGAGCUGGGUUUAAAACGUCGUGAGACAGUUUGGUCCCUAUCUUCCGUGGGCGCUGCAGAUUUGAGGAAGCCUGCUCCUAGUACGAGAGGACCGGAGUGGACACACCUCUGGUGUAUCGGUUGUCACGCCAGUGGCAUUGCCGAGUAGCUAAGUGUGGAAGAGAUAACCGCUGAAAGCAUCUAAGCGGGAAACUCGUUUCAAGAUGAGAUCUGCCGGGGCCUUGAGCCCCCUAAAGAGUCGUUCAAGACCAGGACGUUGAUAGGUCAGGUGUGGAAACA